Molecule: non-coding RNA, 202 nt
Organism: Oryza barthii
Lineage: Eukaryota; Viridiplantae; Streptophyta; Magnoliopsida; Poales; Poaceae
Source: Rfam
AAUAACCUCAGCCAUAAAUUUCCGUAUUCAACUUUAACCAUCCGUCUUAUUUAAAAUAUUUUUAUGAUUAGUAUUUUUAUUGCUAUUAGAUGAUAAACAUGAAUAUUACUUUAUAUGUGAUUAUUUUUUAAUUUCUUCAUAAAUUGUUUAAAUAAAACGGACGGUCAAAUGUUGAACAUGAAUAUCUAUAGCUGCACUUAUU